GAUCAGAUCUCAAAUCUCAAAUGGGAGGCCUCCUUCCCCGUCAAGCCAUCCUCCAAUGCUCCGCCCCUCGCUUCACUGCUCGAACCAUCUCUACCUUAAGCUGCCCGCCUACGGAGCGUCGGCUGGUUCGAUAAGAUCAAGGUCGUCUUCAUCGGCAAGCCCUCGUCGGACCUCCAAAACCUCCUCCUCUCUCAUUGAUGGAGAAGGCAAGGACGCUGGGAUCGUUCAAGAGGUUCGAGGUGGGCCGGUGCGGCGAGGCUACCGUCUCCGACGCGUUCAAACAGCAUUCUGCGAUCCUCCGUUACGUCGGGGUCGUCGAUCCCUUUGCUGAGAUCUCAUUGAAGCCAACCGAGGAAUCAAUCAGGAAGUACAAGGCACAUUAUAUUGUGGAUGACAGAGUUCAGUAUGGAAUGAUGCUUGUAGCUGAGGGCCCAUGGUAUGAACUAUGAAGUUUAUUUGGACAAUUUGAGACUGUAUUCACUUGUGUUGUUGCUUGGGUUUCUUGAUGUUUACUAAUUUCUUGCAGCACAUGAAUGAUGGUUUCCUAUGGAAACUCUUGUCUUCGAUCUCCAGUUCAGCUCCUCUGAAUGUACCAUCACGAACCAUACAGCAUAUGGUUCCACAACAUGAAGGUGCUGUGGAAUGACUUGAAACAGAAAGAAGCUUGCAGAUCGAAUCCGUCCGGGAAGGUUGCAAACCUGUUGCUAUUUCAGGGUUGAACUGGUGCAAGUGCGAGGUUAGUCGAAAUUACAAGUGAAUGCUUCAAUUGUAGGUUUCAGAAGUUCAAAAUCAGGUGAACUUGUAUUUAUCAUGAAGCAAAAGUAAAGGCGGAUAAUUAGUUCAAAUUU
Musa acuminata subsp. malaccensis (wild Malaysian banana) is the source of this 848-nucleotide non-coding RNA. The record is from RefSeq and is a predicted model, not a curated record. Lineage: Eukaryota; Viridiplantae; Streptophyta; Magnoliopsida; Zingiberales; Musaceae.